Molecule: small RNA, 99 nt
Filed under: Enterobacter hormaechei
Lineage: Bacteria; Pseudomonadati; Pseudomonadota; Gammaproteobacteria; Enterobacterales; Enterobacteriaceae
Also listed under: 1 other name
Description: Salmonella enterica Typhi npcRNA 44
Rfam family: Salmonella enterica Typhi npcRNA 44
Source: RNAcentral
CUUUAAAAAUCUGGAUCAAGCUGAAAAUUGAAACGACACACAGCUCAUGUGUGUUCGAGUCUCUCAAAUUUUCGCAACCAUGAAGUGAAACAUCUUCGG